UAGGGAAUCUUCGGCAAUGGACGAAAGUCUGACCGAGCAACGCCGCGUGAGUGAAGAAGGUUUUCGGAUCGUAAAACUCUGUUGUUAGAGAAGAACAAGGACGUUAGUAACUGAACGUCCCCUGACGGUAUCUAACCAGAAAGCCACGGCUAACUACGUGCCAGCAGCCGCGGUAAUACGUAGGUGGCAAGCGUUGUCCGGAUUUAUUGGGCGUAAAGCGAGCGCAGGCGGUUUCUUAAGUCUGAUGUGAAAGCCCCCGGCUCAACCGGGGAGGGUCAUUGGAAACUGGGAGACUUGAGUGCAGAAGAGGAGAGUGGAAUUCCAUGUGUAGCGGUGAAAUGCGUAGAUAUAUGGAGGAACACAAGUGGCGAAGGCGGCUCUCUGGUCUGUAACUGACGCUGAGGCUCGAAAGCGUGGGGAGCAAACAGG
RNAcentral lists this ribosomal RNA (429 nucleotides) under Gemmatimonadota bacterium. Its description in RNAcentral is "Gemmatimonadetes bacterium partial 16S ribosomal RNA". It matches the Rfam family "Bacterial small subunit ribosomal RNA", at positions 355 to 776 of the family's 1533-position model. The record is from RNAcentral. Lineage: Bacteria; Pseudomonadati; Gemmatimonadota.